UAGGGAAUCUUCCACAAUGGACGCAAGUCUGAUGGAGCAACGCCGCGUGAGUGAAGAAGGUUUUCGGACCGUAAAGCUCUGUUGUUGGUGAAGAAGGAUAGAGGUAGUAACUGGCCUUUAUUUGACGGUAAUCAACCAGAAAGUCACGGCUAACUACGUGCCAGCAGCCGCGGUAAUCGUAGGUGGCAAGCGUUGUCCGGAUUUAUUGGGCGUAAAGCGAGCGCAGGCGGAAGAAUAAGUCUGAUGUGAAAGCCCUCGGCUUAACCGAGGAAUUGCAUCGGAAACUGU
This 288-nucleotide ribosomal RNA is filed under the name uncultured bacterium. RNAcentral's name for it is "partial 16S ribosomal RNA". It matches the Rfam family "Bacterial small subunit ribosomal RNA", at positions 355 to 636 of the family's 1533-position model. The record is from RNAcentral.